UAAGAAACGUAUUUAGGUGCGUU
Molecule: non-coding RNA, 23 nt
Filed under: Arabidopsis thaliana (thale cress)
Lineage: Eukaryota; Viridiplantae; Streptophyta; Magnoliopsida; Brassicales; Brassicaceae
Source: RNAcentral